GGACUCUGCUUGUUUCAGUAGCCCAUGUACUAAAAUAGGAACAAUACAGAGAAGAUUAGCACAGCCCCCACGCAAGGCUGACACAUAAAUUCAUGAAGCAUUAGAGACAAAA
Molecule: small nuclear RNA, 112 nt
Organism: Macaca nemestrina (pig-tailed macaque)
Lineage: Eukaryota; Metazoa; Chordata; Mammalia; Primates; Cercopithecidae
Source: Ensembl